RNAcentral lists this transfer RNA (67 nucleotides) under Cheirolophus arbutifolius. RNAcentral's name for it is "partial tRNA-Ser". It matches the Rfam family "tRNA", at positions 1 to 50 of the family's 71-position model. Rfam says of the family: Transfer RNA (tRNA) molecules are approximately 80 nucleotides in length. Their secondary structure includes four short double-helical elements and three loops (D, anti-codon, and T loops). Further hydrogen bonds mediate the characteristic L-shaped molecular structure. tRNAs have two regions of fundamental functional importance: the anti-codon, which is responsible for specific mRNA codon recognition, and the 3' end, to which the tRNAs corresponding amino acid is attached (by aminoacyl-tRNA synthetases). tRNAs cope with the degeneracy of the genetic code in two manners: having more than one tRNA (with a specific anti-codon) for a particular amino acid; and 'wobble' base-pairing, i.e. permitting non-standard base-pairing at the 3rd anti-codon position. RNAcentral also lists the same sequence under 36 other names. Lineage: Eukaryota; Viridiplantae; Streptophyta; Magnoliopsida; Asterales; Asteraceae. The record is from RNAcentral.
GGAGAGAUGGCUGAGUGGACGAAAGCGGCGGAUUGCUAAUCCGUUGUACGAGUUAUUCGUACCGAGG